This 154-nucleotide unclassified non-coding RNA is filed under the name uncultured Stagonosporopsis. Its description in RNAcentral is "sequence contains ITS2". Lineage: Eukaryota; Fungi; Ascomycota; Dothideomycetes; Pleosporales; Didymellaceae. The record is from RNAcentral.
ACACCUUCAAGCUCUGCUUGGUGUUGGGUGUUUGUCUCGCCUUUGCGUGUAGACUCGCCUCAAAACGAUUGGCAGCCGGCGUAUUGGUUUCGGAGCGCAGUACAUCUCGCGCUUUGCACUCAUAACGACGACGUCCAAAAAGUACAUUUUACAC